CUGCGCCCGUGAAGGAUGAAGCAUACUUCUUAGUAGUAUUUUGCGGGCAAUCAGAGUAUGUUCAGUCCGGUGGCAAUAAGCAUGGCUUUAUUGCUUCAAAGCCUUUU
Molecule: non-coding RNA, 107 nt
Submitted as: unclassified sequences
Source: Rfam